GUCCAGGUUAGCCUAGUGGACAAUGGCAUCUUCCCGGUAAGCGGAACACUGUGUGUUCGAUUCCCAUCCCUGGACU
Molecule: transfer RNA, 76 nt
Filed under: Cordylochernes scorpioides
Lineage: Eukaryota; Metazoa; Arthropoda; Arachnida; Pseudoscorpiones; Chernetidae
Description: tRNA-Thr
Source: RNAcentral